CGAGAGAGAGCUUGCUUUCUCGAGCGAGUGGCGAACGGGUGAGUAACGCGUGAGGAACCUGCCUCAAAGAGGGGGACAACAGUUGGAAACGACUGCUAAUACUGCAUAAGCCCACGGGUCGGCAUCGACCAGAGGGAAAAGGAGCAAUCCGCUUUGAGAUGGCCUCGCGUCCGAUUAGCUAGUUGGUGAGGUAACGGCCCACCAAGGCAACGAUCGGUAGCCGGACUGAGAGGUUGAACGGCCACAUUGGGACUGAGACACGGCCCAGACUCCUACGGGAGGCAGCAGUGGGGAAUAUUGCACAAUGGGGGAAACCCUGAUGCAGCGACGCCGCGUGGAGGAAGAAGGUCUUCGGAUUGUAAACUCCUGUUGUUGGGGAAGAUAAUGACGGUACCCAACAAGGAAGUGACGGCUAACUACGUGCCAGCAGCCGCGGUAAAACGUAGGUCACAAGCGUUGUCCGGAAUUACUGGGUGUAAAGGGAGCGCAGGCGGGAAGACAAGUUGGAAGUGAAAUCUAUGGGCUCAACCCAUAAACUGCUUUCAAAACUGUUUUUCUUGAGUAGUGCAGAGGUAGGCGGAAUUCCCGGUGUAGCGGUGGAAUGCGUAGAUAUCGGGAGGAACACCAGUGGCGAAGGCGGCCUACUGGGCACCAACUGACGCUGAGGCUCGAAAGUGUGGGUAGCAAACAGGAUUAGAUACCCUGGUAGUCCACACCGUAAACGAUGAUUACUAGGUGUUGGAGGAUUGACCCCUUCAGUGCC
RNAcentral lists this ribosomal RNA (763 nucleotides) under uncultured bacterium. RNAcentral's name for it is "bacterial SSU rRNA". It matches the Rfam family "Bacterial small subunit ribosomal RNA", at positions 69 to 847 of the family's 1533-position model. The record is from RNAcentral.